CUGGAGAUGGCGACCGGCGCACGGGUGAGUAACACGUAUCCAACCUGCCGAUAACUCGGGGAUAGCCUUUCGAAAGAAAGAUUAAUACCCGAUGGCAUAAUAGAACCGCAUGGUUUGAUUAUUAAAGAAUUUCGGUUAUCGAUGGGGAUGCGUUCCAUUAGGCAGUUGGUGGGGUAACGGCCCACCAAACCUUCGAUGGAUAGGGGUUCUGAGAGGAAGGUCCCCCACAUUGGAACUGAGACACGGUCCAAACUCCUACGGGAGGCAGCAUG
This 272-nucleotide ribosomal RNA is filed under the name uncultured bacterium. Its description in RNAcentral is "partial 16S ribosomal RNA". It matches the Rfam family "Bacterial small subunit ribosomal RNA", at positions 82 to 353 of the family's 1533-position model. The record is from RNAcentral.